RNAcentral lists this ribosomal RNA (285 nucleotides) under Klebsiella pneumoniae. RNAcentral describes it as "partial 23S ribosomal RNA". It matches the Rfam family "Bacterial large subunit ribosomal RNA", at positions 1184 to 1471 of the family's 2925-position model. The record is from RNAcentral. Lineage: Bacteria; Pseudomonadati; Pseudomonadota; Gammaproteobacteria; Enterobacterales; Enterobacteriaceae.
AAACCAUGCACCGAAGCUGCGGCAGCGACACUAUGUGUUGUUGGGUAGGGGAGCGUUCUGUAAGCCUGCGAAGGUGACCUGUGAGGGUUGCUGGAGGUAUCAGAAGUGCGAAUGCUGACAUAAGUAACGAUAAAGCGGGUGAAAAGCCCGCUCGCCGGAAGACCAAGGGUUCCUGUCCAACGUUAAUCGGGGCAGGGUGAGUCGACCCCUAAGGCGAGGCCGAAAAGGCGUAGUCGAUGGGAAACAGGUUAAUAUUCCUGUACUUGGUGUUACUGCGAAGGGGGG